This 66-nucleotide transfer RNA is filed under the name Siphonops annulatus. RNAcentral's name for it is "tRNA-Trp". It matches the Rfam family "tRNA". From Rfam's summary of the family: Transfer RNA (tRNA) molecules are approximately 80 nucleotides in length. Their secondary structure includes four short double-helical elements and three loops (D, anti-codon, and T loops). Further hydrogen bonds mediate the characteristic L-shaped molecular structure. tRNAs have two regions of fundamental functional importance: the anti-codon, which is responsible for specific mRNA codon recognition, and the 3' end, to which the tRNAs corresponding amino acid is attached (by aminoacyl-tRNA synthetases). tRNAs cope with the degeneracy of the genetic code in two manners: having more than one tRNA (with a specific anti-codon) for a particular amino acid; and 'wobble' base-pairing, i.e. permitting non-standard base-pairing at the 3rd anti-codon position. Lineage: Eukaryota; Metazoa; Chordata; Amphibia; Gymnophiona; Siphonopidae. The record is from RNAcentral.
UGGGGUUUAGGAUAAAGACCGAAGGCCUUCAAAGCCUUAAGUAGAAGUUAAUCCUUCUAACCCCUG